Molecule: ribosomal RNA, 261 nt
Filed under: uncultured prokaryote
Description: partial 16S ribosomal RNA
Rfam family: Bacterial small subunit ribosomal RNA
Source: RNAcentral
UACGGAGGAUCCUAGUGUUAUCCGGAUUUAUUGGGUUUAAAGGGAGCGUAGGCGGGAGGUCAAGUCAGCUGUGAAAUGUAUCUGCUUAACGGGUACACUGCAGUUGAAACUGGUUUUCUUGAGUGCGUAAGAGGCAGGCGGAAUUCGUUGUGUAGCGGUGAAAUGCUUAGAUAUGACGAGGAACUCCUAUUGCGAAGGCAGGUCUCUGGGCAGUUACUGACGCUGAGGAGCGAAAGCAUGGGUAGCGAACAGGAUUAGAUA